RNAcentral lists this unclassified non-coding RNA (60 nucleotides) under synthetic construct. The record is from RNAcentral.
AUUGGGUGAGACUCACUCGCUCUGAUAAAAUAGACGAGGUCAUAAUUAGCUGUAUCAAUU